Molecule: ribosomal RNA, 497 nt
Filed under: uncultured bacterium
Lineage: Bacteria
Description: partial 16S ribosomal RNA
Rfam family: Bacterial small subunit ribosomal RNA
Source: RNAcentral
GACGAACGCUGGCGGCGUGCCUAAUACAUGCAAGUUGAGCGCUGAAGGUUGGUACUUGUACCAACUGGAUGAGCAGCGAACGGGUGAGUAACGCGUGGGGAAUCUGCCUUUGAGCGGGGGACAACAUUUGGAAACGAAUGCUAAUACCGCAUAAAAACUUUAAACACAAGUUUUAAGUUUGAAAGAUGCAAUUGCAUCACUCAAAGAUGAUCCCGCGUUGUAUUAGCUAGUUGGUGAGGUAAAGGCUCACCAAGGCGAUGAUACAUAGCCGACCUGAGAGGGUGAUCGGCAACAUUGGGACUGAGAAACGGCCCAAACUCCUACGGGAGGCAGCAGUAGGGAAUCUUCGGCAAUGGACGAAAGUCUGACCGAGCAACGCCGCGUGAGUGAAGAAGGUUUUCGGAUCGUAAAACUCUGUUGGUAGAGAAGAACGUUGGUGAGAGUGGAAAGCUCAUCAAGUGACGGUAACUACCCAGAAAGGGACGGCUAACUACGUG